GGGAGUGCGUGCAUUAGGGGAUGUAUGUGGAAGUAAAACAGAUCCCUUAGGCCUGUGAGCCUAUCGCACUGCAUUUGUCAUUCCUGCUCGGGCGACAUUUUUUUUCCCCCCUAAGCUUCUGCACACUAAACACAGUGAGAGAGCUUUUCCCUGCAGUCUUCUUGAAGUCCCCUGAUUUUUACUCGGUGUUGGUGGGUGUCUCUUAAUUUUUUUUUUUAUUAUUCCCUGGAAUAUGGGGUAUAAUAUCAAUAUUCACUGAAGACAAAAAAGCAACCUUUUCUGCAUCUCGGUGGUAUGCUCUUUCCUUGUCAUCCUUUCAAACUUGUUGUGGAACAGAGUGUUCUUUUCUUUCUGUGCAUUCUGAACCAGUGCAGUUACAAAAAUUGAACUUGUCUUUAACUUGUGAGCGGUUUGGUGAUGUUGUGAGGAAAGAACACACAGAAGCUGUUGUAGAGGACAAGGUACAUGCCGAUAUUUCCUGGACAUCUGUCCAAUCUACUUUGACAUUUGAAGACCAUAGAGUGUGA
Molecule: long non-coding RNA, 527 nt
Filed under: Dasypus novemcinctus (nine-banded armadillo)
Lineage: Eukaryota; Metazoa; Chordata; Mammalia; Cingulata; Dasypodidae
Description: lncRNA (ENSDNOG00000050586.1)
Source: RNAcentral